GAAAUUUGACAUGUGAUAGGUGGAUAUAUGGUCUUUGCAUGGACUGUCUCGUGUGAUGCUUUCUUGGAUGAGACCAAGGCUCAUCUAGUCCAGCCCUUUAGAGGAAAUGCCAUUGACUCAUGGAGUGUCUGAAGACUGUAGGAAUACUGACACCAUUUCCAUAUCGUGUUCCAUAGAAUCCAAAGCGUGAGAUUAAGAAAGUCAUACAUUUCUUGGGAAAGGACCUGGCAGAACAAGCUGUGGAUCAGAUUGUCUACAACACCUCCUUUGACAAGAUGAAGGACAAUCCUGCUACAAAUUAUAAGAUGGUUCCAACUGAAGUGAUGGAUCACAGAAUCUCCCCAUUCAUGCGCAAAGGAACUGCUGGUGACUGGAAAAAUUACUUUACUGUGGCUCAGAAUGAGGCAUUUGAUGAAGAUUAUAAGAUGCAAAUGUCAGAUACAACACUGCAAUUCAGAACAGAAGUCUGAAGCUCCCUGUAGCUACGACAGAGUUGCCACUGUUCUCCAGUUUUAAUACAAAGUCCAUCAUUUAGUAAAGACAUUGGACUCUUGAGAGUCUCUGCUUUUAAUUAGAGGGGGAAAAAAGUUCCUCAUAUGAAUGAUUGUGGAAUACAUAUAUAAGACAGUACAAAUGAUACAGUUAUGUAGUACUAAUUAAGAUGAUAAAACUGUAUGUAAUUUACAGAUAUUGUAUGUACAUAAAGUACAGAUUUUAAAGUGAA
Molecule: long non-coding RNA, 724 nt
Organism: Sceloporus undulatus (fence lizard)
Lineage: Eukaryota; Metazoa; Chordata; Lepidosauria; Squamata; Phrynosomatidae
Exons: 2
Source: RefSeq, a predicted model, not a curated record